This 497-nucleotide antisense RNA is filed under the name Streptomyces yokosukanensis. RNAcentral's name for it is "Saccharopolyspora sRNA 350". It matches the Rfam family "Saccharopolyspora sRNA 350". The record is from Rfam by way of RNAcentral. Lineage: Bacteria; Bacillati; Actinomycetota; Actinomycetes; Kitasatosporales; Streptomycetaceae.
ACCGAGGUGAGCCACAGCGGAUCCGACUGCCCGACCGCCUCGUCGCCCAUCUGGUCGCCGUCGGUGACGACCCCGACGAUCUCCUCCUCGCCGUACUUGCCUUCCGCGUACCGGGUGAACCGGCCGUGCACCACCAGAUACGCCUCGGUGACCGGCUGACCGGCCUCGAACAGCACCUGCCCGGCGCGCACGUCGCGGCUCUGGAAGCGGCCGGCGAUCUCCGUCAGCACGUCCAGGUCGUCGUAGCCGCGCAGGAUCGGCAGUUCGGUGAGCGUGCGGGGGAUGACCCGGAUGUCGUCCCCGCCGUUCUGCUCGAAGCUCACCCGGCCGCGUCCGGUGCGCAGUUGGAGGCGCCGGUUGACCCGAUAGGCACCGCCCUUGACGUCCACCCACGGCAGUGUCUUCAGCAGCCACCGGGAAGUGAUGGCCUGCAUCUGCGGUUCGGUCUUGGUGGUCGUGGCGAGCUGACGUGCCGCUCGCGUGCUCAGGCUGGUGAG